GCGUGCAGGGCCAACUUUAAUACGGGCCGGCCUGUCUGGGGGUCGAGGUGGCCGCUCCCUUUGUCCUUGUGGCUUUCCACGGGCAGGGGCGGUCCCAGCGAGAUCGUCUCAUAACCAAACCAGCCCUGUGCACGAGAAGUCACGCCAUGCCCCACAGCCUCCAGUCCUGGCUGCUGGUGGCUCGGGGACCCGCAGGGCAGGAGGGUCCCGGGUCUCGCAGUUCCAUGAGCCCCAGCCGCGGGGACCCCCAUGGACAAACUUCCGGGGCUGCACCUGCCGGAGCAGCGUCUCCCAAGCAUCGGAGCAAGAGGAAGCGCGGGGACCCCAAGGUCUGGAGG
Homo sapiens (human) is the source of this 338-nucleotide long non-coding RNA. NCBI's taxonomy places the organism in Eukaryota, Metazoa, Chordata, Mammalia, Primates, Hominidae. The record is from Ensembl.